This 1905-nucleotide ribosomal RNA is filed under the name Triticum aestivum (bread wheat). RNAcentral's name for it is "partial small subunit ribosomal RNA". Lineage: Eukaryota; Viridiplantae; Streptophyta; Magnoliopsida; Poales; Poaceae. The record is from RNAcentral.
CAUGGUUCGGGUGUUAUUCCCCAUUUGGUAAGGAAACGGUACAAUAAUCGGUCUCAUCGACCUAGGUAAUAAAGUUUGCUUUAUGUUUAAACUUGUACUGUACUCGGGUGUAAUUCUACCGUCCUAGUCAAUGUCCUCCCGUAAAUAGGUGUCGGUCGCAAUGGUUUCUCGUUGCAUACGUGUUGCUUUCGUUAUUAUUACCCUUUAUUUUCAGAUAAAGGGGAGAAAAAAAAAGAAAAAAAAGGAUGCAGCGGCUUGCCUUAAUACGUCAGUACGUGCUCCUCCACCGAAAACCUGCAACCGCGGGUAACACACUCCACAGUCAACCUCCCUAAAUGCCCCCCGAGUCGAGGUAGGCUUUUACUCAAGCAUAUUAUCUCUCUCUCCUUCGAAGAAGGAGGUGCGAGUAUAUAUAGGAUGAUGGUGUCACGUCAAGCACGGCCUGCUCUUUCCUCCUGCCUCCCUCUCCGUUAACCCAACGACUUAGACUUUUGUUAGACUAUGCGGGUUUGGGACUGACGAGUUUAAGGAGGCAUGUCAGGAGUGGUGCUUAAACUCGUUGAAGCCACGUUUAAGAGGCUCUGUACCCGCUUUAAGGUCUUGGUCUCCAAGGGUUCGGGUGCGGCCUCGGUAGCAGCACCGAGUCGGACUCUCAGAAGAUGGACGCCGACUCGUCCACGCUCGACCUGCUCUGGUACGACCUGUGGGACUCGUAGUGGGUGCGGGGCGAGUGGAGGCUGUGGCAGGACCUUCACUUGCCGCUGUCCGGUUCUUCGUGGCUGUUGUUGCCGGUGCAGAGCACGGGGGAGGCGUCCCUGGCGCACCUGCGCCGCAGCGCGCUCCGGAGGAAGCAGUCGUGCCGCUGGCACUCCUACCGGCCCUCGCACGCGAAGCUCCAGGCGCAGCCGUCGCCGCUCUCCGAGGAGCACCCCUAGUACCUCUACACGCUGCACCGCCUCCUCUUUUUCUUCCCCACCCAGUACUUCACGGUCCAGCGCUACGUCGCCACGAGCCCCAAGGACUUUCCGCCGCCCCUCCUGCGCUUCAGCGGCUACCAGCUCCACAUGCAUCGCUCGGACAAGGCCCCGUCGGGCUAGCACAAGUGGUUCCGCUACUUCGACGCCGAGUCCUCCUGCGCGGUCCAGUUCCGCGGAAAGUACCUCGGGUAGGGGCUCACGCCGCUCGUGCGGCUGCUGCUGCGCUUUCUUUGCGGCGGACUGGUCUUCGUACUAGGUGUCCUUAGCCUCAUGUCCACGAUGUUCGGCCUUGGCCCGUACCUGCUGCAGCUGAUGCUGUCGAACAUGCGCUCUAGCCGACCGGACCUGGUACCGGACCUGCCGCUCCUGUCGCUCGAGAGCACCAAGUGGCGACCGCAGUCUCACCCGCACCCGUAGUCGGACCCGUAGAAGGAGCCCCAGCCGUAGCCGCGACCUGAGGACCGGGCAAGGAUGGUCAGGUGGAGGUCCUGAUACUCCGCCGCCGACUAGAGACCGGACGAGACUGAGACUUGCCAUCGUAAGGUUGUACAGUGUCUCGUUCCCGUGUCGUUGAGACGAAGAGCGGUCUGCACUGCGCGGACCUCUAAUGAGACGACCUACACAAACAUCUAGGAGAACGGACAAUGAUAUACAUUUGGACCCUUACCAAUAAGUUUUUGGCCCACUUUACCAAGCCAAAAAUGAAACCCAAACUAAUCAAGUCCAAAAUAACCCGGCUCAGAAAAAAUCAAACCAAAACCAAACCCAUACACCUCUUUGAUCAAACCCAUAUCAACCAAUACCCAAAUUUAUUAAACCAAUAAUCGCCGAUAUUUGAUACCCAAGUUUGGUCAAAGACCCGUAACCAAUACACGUUAUUGUUUGCUGCGUGGUUGUUACUCAUCAAAACUAGGCGCACGUGCGACGC